UCCCUGCCUACUUGAAGCUUUCAGAAGAAACGUGCCCCUGCUUGAACUCCUCCAUUUGCGUGGGCACUUGCUGGAGUUACCUAACUGGCAGUUUGCUGGGAUGCACGCUGCAUCUUGCUGUGCCUCGGGUUAAAGCCAUCCGUGCUGGAAAAUGGAGCCACAAGAAAUCAAUCCCAGGUGGAGGAUUGCCAAUGGGGAUUGCCUCCCUGACGGCCUCUGGGACAUCUGCAUAUCUUCGUGGACACCUCCAGAUCAUGGAGCUGAGUUCCCUCCCUCCUCCCUCUUUUGACUUUAUUACCUCUUAAACCCCUCAAUAUCCCAGGAUUUGGCCACGAAGGCUGGAAGCUCUCAGAGCCAUCUGAUCUGCAUUGCUAAGCACUGUCACCUCCUCCCCUUGCACCACCUGGCUUAACCUCUGCCCUCUCACAUUUGCAGAUAUGUGCACAGAGCUUAAUCUCACAAGGAGCUGGGAGACUCUUUUUUUUCCCUGCAGAGGAAACAGGAUUUUAUUGC
Molecule: long non-coding RNA, 513 nt
Organism: Lagopus leucura (white-tailed ptarmigan)
Lineage: Eukaryota; Metazoa; Chordata; Aves; Galliformes; Phasianidae
Exons: 3
Source: RefSeq, a predicted model, not a curated record